UUAUAUUAAAAAAAGAAAAAAAUGGGUGACCUAGUAAACCAGUUCCCUGAAAAGAAAAGCUCAUAAUUUCCUCUCACCUCUAUCCGAUUUCUUUGCUUUCUCAAAAGAAAAAUCCCUAAAAUUUCAUCUCUUAAAUUCAUAGUUUCUCUCAUCCCAAUUUUUUCACUCAACAAGAUCAAAUCCACGGUCUCUCUCGCACUAAGCAACCAAUCGGAUCCAUCUACUCAAGUAUUUUGUUUGUACACGAGAGGUAGAGAGAGGCAGAGGCAGAGCCAGUAUCGCGCGUUGCUUCUUUUCCAACCGUCCACCGUUCCUUUGUUGCAAUGUUGUCUAUCAUUGUAUUGGAAAGUAGCUUGACAAUCACCUUAGAUAGAAAGAGGUUACUUAAUCCCACAGUAACUACUAUCGAAGGCUUUUUUUUAAACUUAAGCUCAAACUAUAUUGAAAAGUGAAGUCGAAAUUAUAUAACAACUACGGAAAGCUCCAAAACUGGAAUGAAUUGCCGCGGCUUCUUAUAUUACGUCCUAUCAGCUUUUUUAGUGAUUUCUAAUAUUAUUUUGGAACACUAUGAAUAACAAAUAGAAAAAUUUUAAGCCAUAUUCUUAGUUAACACAAAUGGAUGCAAUAACAAGCAAGAUUAGGAUACUUAACGGCCUGGCAUAUAAUUCAUGGCCAUCUUGAUCAAAUCCGGGGAAUUUUUGGUUAGAUGCUGAGCCACAGUCAUUGUCACUGCAGUCGACUUGAGGGUUUGGACCGACAUAAUCUUUGCCGAGUUUUCUUAUCACCACGAUCAACACAAGGAUAAAAGCAUCUGCCAUAAUGUCUUGCAGUAAGGAGUCGUACGGCCAUCACAUGAGCUAUACUUUUCAGUCUAUACUUGCCGGCUGAUGCUACAAUGCCGGGCACUAAAGGCUCGGCACCAUGCCAGAAACGAAAAAAAACCGUUAGAUUCAAUUAUAUUGAAUCCAACGGUUGAGAUUAAUUUUAUAUUAAAAAAAGAAAAAAAUGGGUGACCUAGUAAACCAGUUCCCUGAAAAGAAAAGCUCAUAAUUUCCUCUCACCUCUAUCCGAUUUCUUUGCUUUCUCAAAAGAAAAAUCCCUAAAAUUUCAUCUCUUAAAUUCAUAGUUUCUCUCAUCCCAAUUUUUUCACUCAACAAGAUCAAAUCCACGGUCUCUCUCGCACUAAGCAACCAAUCGGAUCCAUCUACUCAAGUAUUUUGUUUGUACACGAGAGGUAGAGAGAGGCAGAGGCAGAGCCAGUAUCGCGCGUUGCUUCUUUUCCAACCGUCCACCGUUCCUUUGUUGCAAUGUUGUCUAUAGCAUGAGCUGCCAUCGAAUCAGCUGCAGGAAGCUUUUAGGGUGGCGUAUCCUGGAAUGGAACCAAAAAAAGAGUUGAGGUUUAUGUUUGGAGUCAUUCUUGGAC
RNAcentral lists this long non-coding RNA (1423 nucleotides) under Citrus sinensis (sweet orange). Its description in RNAcentral is "long non-coding RNA (CSIN_LNC001038)". Lineage: Eukaryota; Viridiplantae; Streptophyta; Magnoliopsida; Sapindales; Rutaceae. The record is from RNAcentral.